Molecule: long non-coding RNA, 238 nt
Organism: Plectropomus leopardus (leopard coralgrouper)
Lineage: Eukaryota; Metazoa; Chordata; Actinopteri; Perciformes; Serranidae
Source: RefSeq, a predicted model, not a curated record
GGCUAACAAACUAAGUUACUGUAACAGUGACGCGGUCGUAUAAAGAAAAGAUGAAAACCAAAGAUUACCUGUGCCUGCUCAAAGUGGCAUUCAUACAGGAUGGGAAUGUUUCCUGGAACAGCUCCCUGGUCCAUACAGUGGCUCCUGAGCAGGGUGCUCUUCAGCUGUACAGGCUGCGAUUCAUCCGCCAUCUUCAACCACUCUGGCCUGAAGGACUCAUACAUGCACCACAAAGCCC